This 253-nucleotide ribosomal RNA is filed under the name uncultured bacterium. RNAcentral describes it as "partial 16S ribosomal RNA". It matches the Rfam family "Bacterial small subunit ribosomal RNA", at positions 524 to 776 of the family's 1533-position model. The record is from RNAcentral.
GACAGAGGGGGCAAGCGUUGCUCGGAAUUACUGGGCGUAAAGGGCGUGUAGGCGGGAUGGCAAGUCGGUCGUGAAAGCCUUCGGCUCAACCGAAGAACGUCGGCCGAUACUGCCGUUCUUGAGGGAUGCAGAGGAGACUGGAAUUCCCGGUGUAGCGGUGAAAUGUGUAGAGAUCGGGAGGAACACCGGUGGCGAAGGCGGGUCUCUGGGCAUCUCCUGACGCUGAGGCGCGAAAGCGUGGGGAGCAAACGGG